RNAcentral lists this ribosomal RNA (334 nucleotides) under Bruunilla sp. 692 PB-2018. RNAcentral's name for it is "partial 16S ribosomal RNA". The stretch from base 51 to 334 matches the Rfam family "Bacterial large subunit ribosomal RNA", at positions 2049 to 2568 of the family's 2925-position model. Lineage: Eukaryota; Metazoa; Annelida; Polychaeta; Phyllodocida; Polynoidae. The record is from RNAcentral.
UGGAACCACGAAAAUUUAACUAUCCCAAUUUUAAUACUACAACUUAAACCCCAGGUGAAGAUGCCUGUAUUCAAUUGAAAGACACGAAGACCCUAUAGAUUUUCAGCUGGAUCGGUUUUAUAAACUACACCACCUUUAGUUGGGGCGACUAAGGAUCCCACAUACCAUCCUUCAAUAAACCGAACAAUAAUUCACUAAAACAUCUUUAUACCUAAUAAACAAAAUAAAUUACCUUAGGGAUAACAGGCUUAUCUUCCUAAAGAGUUCAAAUUGCAAGGAAGGUUUGGCACCUCGAUGUUGGCUUAGAGUAACCUAUUAAAGCAGAAACUAAUAC